CCCCCGAACAGCUAAUAGUGUAAGUCUCAAGAAAUUCUAGAGGUGGGUUUACAGGUAACGGAAACGUUUUAAACCCGUGCUCCCAGCGAUUUCUUAUGCCUGCCAUUUACAGCCUACUCACAGACUCAGCCGUGUACAUGUCGGUCGCUCAUACCUAGUUUUCCAAGUAUCAACUUUUACAAUUUAUUGUAGGUCAUUCGUAUUAAGUCAUUAAUACAUAUUCACAUGCUUAAUGUUGCUGGACUUUUAAGGAAAGAAAACAGCUUACUGUGAUUUAUCCCACCUCUCAACGCGCCCCCUUCCCCCCCGCCCUCCUUUCGCCACCCCAUUUAGUCAGGUUUAAGGGUUUGAAGCCCUGCUUUGGCUUAAAACAGCCUUUCGAGGGGUAACCUGCAUCUCCCUGCUCGGGCAGAGCUCGAAGUCAAAGGCUGCUUGGCCUGAGGACAGAGGACGGCGCUUAGAGGCUUUGGGAAAUAGCUGCAUUGUGACACUAACAACAGCUUGUAGAAGUAGAUCACUCGCUUUCUAAACGUAGAUGACACUUUUUCCCUUUCUGUAUUUAAACUUUCACCAAGCUGGUUUUGAAUUUAGUUACCAGAAAGAGUGUGAGUGGUGGUGUUUUGAUUGCCAGAGGUUUCAAACAGCUCAGUUGAGUAGUUCGUGUUUACUGUGCACCGAACGAGACGAUUUUUCUAAUUUCAAAACAAGCAGCAGAGAACCUUUGUCAGAGGCAGGAGGAUGUGAGGGCUGCGAGACAACACGUUUUCUGGUCGCUUCAUAAACUGAGUGCGGUUUAGAUGCUCUUUAAGAAAUAUUUGCUUUCCACCAACUGUUCUGUUUUGCCUGAAAAUAAACUAUUUUAAUGACAGAUGCGCCUCACAAAGCAGGAAUAUUGGAAUACAGUGACAUUUAGGAAGCAGCGCAUUUAAUAUUCGGGAAAAUAUGUUAUUGCUUGCGCCUAAAACACAAUUUAACUAUUGAAAUUUUUCCAUUGCAAUACAGCUGAGAGGGUGCACCAGACUCCUUUACUUCUCCAGCUACAGUGUUAGGAGCUAUGGACACUUAGCACCGCACUGGAAGGAGUUUAGUAUAUAACUUUUAACUUUUGUACAGGAUCCAGUUGUUGGACAGCUGGGCAGUUUAAAGUGCUUUAUUCUGAAUAGCCUAAAUUUUAAUUGCGCAAAAUAGAAGGUUUUAAAUCGAUGUGAAAUGAACUGUACUGAAAAUAGCGCUUAAAAGAGGAGGGGGUGUACAUUAGUUUAGAUUUUAACUCUUUAAAAAUAAGGAGAUUUUUAGCCCCCAAAUUCAGUUACUACCGUUUAUCAAGUAAAAAGUAAUCGCUGAAGCUGCCUGUCACGUUUACCAUCCGCUCUGUCACACUGCUGUGUUUUCUGAUUAAAAACCUCUGUGAAA
Molecule: long non-coding RNA, 1413 nt
Filed under: Strigops habroptila (Kakapo)
Lineage: Eukaryota; Metazoa; Chordata; Aves; Psittaciformes; Psittacidae
Description: lncRNA (ENSSHBG00005007547.1)
Source: RNAcentral